UUAUGUAUACCAAAUUACAACAAAUUCUAAGAUGGUCGGGUGCAACCACUGGGUGAAUCCAGAUGGAAUGACCCCAUAUCAAUAUCAGUCCAUCUUUAACAUGAAUUAGGUUGAAAUGUAACACUAAUUUCAUUACAUUUGUGGCCUACAUGUAACUGUGAAACGGGCCAUAUCACUUACAGGUAGAAGAUUCCAUUCGCAGCCCAAAAUACAAUGGUAUGAAAGCAUGGUAACAAUUAAGCAUAGUUUUAGCAGCCUGUGACAAAAUGUGCUUUCAUUAUUGGACCUUUCUCAUUGUACACCCUAAAUUAAGUGCACUUGACACUAAAAAUCUCCAUAUUAAAGUCAUGAAAAUGUAUUCAAUUGAAACCACCAUUGUGAAUUUGGGGCAUUUUUUACCGACCUUUGGAAAUCUUUCUGACUCUCUUUAUUUUCAGUGUAAUUUCAAAUGGUUUCUUGAACUUCCUUUUGUUUCUCCACUGAACUUCCUUUGCUUUUGGCUGGGGGCAUGCCACUGCAGAGAGAGCUAAAUUGCUAUUUUCAAAAUAAAACAGUUGCUUUAUUUUUAAUUUUUUUUUAUUUAGAGGUGAGGCUCGUAUAAAAUUGAAAUUCAGAUUUUAUUUUUCUCCAAAACGAAGAAGCUCACAGCUUAGUUUUUCAAGAGAAUGUCUUUAUCAUAUGACAGGCUAUGAAGGUAAGUUGUGUUUUGGGAUCUUCUAGCUACCUUUAACAUUGUGGUCUACAUUGCUUCCUGUCAGGUUUUGGGAUUUAUUGAUGGUGUGUUUAUAUUCAACAUACUUAAAGUGAACUUUUGUAAUGAAAAGGCUGAUUGGGUGUGUAGGCGAGACAACACUUGGUAUAUUUUGCUGCCUCUAGUGUAUACAUUUUCUUUAUAAAGCCAUAUGUAUUAUUAUGUAUUACAGGUUUUCAAUUAUUCUGUGUUGUGUUAAAACUUGUAGGGACUGUGAUUUUUUGCGGACAGAAAACACAGAAUUGGCCAUUGGAAAUGGAAAAGCCAAUUUCAAAUGGAAAAUCACUUCUUAAAGAAAACCUUCCAAAAAGUUGCUAAAAUGUCACAUUUCAAAUCUUUACAUCCAUGAAAUGGCCAUCUUUUUUCCAUCUUUCCUUGAAAUUGUUUUAAUUUAGUUGAAAAAUGUCAAGAAAAUGAAGGAUAUUCCCUUUUUUCUCGACUCUGAAAGAUUGUUUUCAGUCACACUCAUUCUACACACAUGAAAGGUUUGGUUUCCAACCAAAUCAAAACAAUCUUAUGUUUAAUAUGUUGUCCCACAUUGAGAUUUUCAUGUAUGUACAUGUAGAUUGAGUGUAACAUCAACUGAAAACGAUCUUUCAGAGUUCAGAAAGAAGGGAAUAUCCUUCAUUUUCUUGAUAGUUUCCCACCAAAUCAAAACAAUCUUACGGAAUUAUGGAAAAUUGAUGGCCAUUUCAUUGAUGUAGAGGAGUAAAAUGUGACAUUUCAACAACUUUUUGGAAGGUAAUUUUUUUUCCUACAUAGGGCCAAACGGUGGUCAAUAUAGGAAAACGUUUAGGCCCCCUAUGCUUUCAUUGACUGUUUGAAUUGAACUGCGUUUAAACUUUUUUACUCAGCCCAACAUUAUAGCCAAAUAUUUUUCACAUACACACAUAUGUAAACAGAAUUUGCCAUUUUUGUGUAUAUAAUACAUGUACGGAAAAGACAUAUUUUUUUUAAAACGGAAAAUCACCGUCCCUAAACUUAGAGUCUGUAGUAUGGUUUUAUAGUUCAGUUUUCAGAGUAUUCAAGAUCUCUUUACAUCUUGAUGGUAGUCUGCCUGUUUCUAGUGCAUAUUAUUGGUCUCAUUGGGACUACUUAAAAAAAAAAUUUUACUCAAAACAAGGCAUUGUUUCAUUUAUGUAAUAACAAAGUGUCAAAAGAUCAAUUUUAAGUUGCAUGCUGUGCAUGAUCAGGAGAAGGUUAUUUGAACUCACAUUGCAUUGUGGUUUAAUAUUCAAUGAGAUAAUCACCAACUUUUUAUUAUUCAUGCCUUCUUUCGAAUUGUGCUUUUCAGUAGCUCCACUGGAAAACAAUACAUCCAUAAGCGACUGUUGGCCAAGUACAUUAUCAAUAGCAACAUGCUAAUGCAUUCAAAAUAGAAAUGCAACAAUGUACCUUCAUAAAGAGUUCAUUUGAUAUGCUAUUAAAGUCACCUGGGCCCCCUAUUACAAAGGUGUGCGAUUAAUUGCUGGAUCAUGUUUGCCAAUCAAGAUCUCAAUUGCAUGCACAUUUUGUUCAACAGACUGACCAGUAACCGAUCAGACCUUUUAUUUUAAAUUAGCGAUUCAUCGCAAACCUUUGUACUACGGGGCCCUGGUCUAUACAAUUUCUUUAUCUUGGUAUGCCAGGCGUGUUUACAGCCUUAUCCAAUAUCUUGCUUUCAAAUUUCCUAUCCUAAUGAAAGAAAAGAAAGGUCAUUUGUACAAACUUGCCCACAAGGUGACUCCUAAUUGGUCUAUAUGCAGGCAAUGUUAUUGUAUAUUACUGGGUAAUAUAUGUUAUUUUUAAGUUAAUGUGUAUAAUUUUACAAAUCUUAGUCUUCAGUAUAAUUUUCUAGUAAGAGUUGAAAGUAGAUGUUUCAAGAGAAUACUCAGUUGUGUACACAGGGUUAUUCAGGAUUUUUCAAAGCAGGGUGUUUUUUUUUUUAAUGAUGCCAAAUCCUUCAUCCAAAUUUUCUUUUUCCAGCUAAAAGGGAAGUGUUUUUUUUUUUUUUUUUUAGACUUUCAACAUAAAAGUAAUUAAUGUAUAUGUAUUUUCUGAAUGAAGGGGUAUCUUUGGUGAACAGGGAUGUUUAUAUUUGACACCAAAAUCACCCACCCCCUUUGCAGUACGACUCUGACAUCACAUUUUGCCUUCUAAAAUAUUCACAACUCAAAGAUACACAUAUCACAAGGUGUUAUCUGUUCUGUGCAAUAGCAACAUUGAAAAUAUAUUUGCCUUACAUAAUGAUUGCUCAUUUCUAAAUAUAAGUUCUUGCCUUUUUUAUAUAACUUGAAAUAACACUUAAAGAACCAAACUAUACUGCCACCAGAAAACACCAUUUUUUUCCUGCUAAUUCUGUGCCUUUUUUUAUCAAGCAUUAGCACACUUUGUGUAUGUUUGCAUUCAUUAUAUACAUGAUUUUUGUAGGUACUAUAUUCAAAAAUUUUAUGAGCAGUUUUUUAUAAACAUGUUAUAUCUUUGAGCCAUUACAUAUAUUUCUUUCAGUCGUUUGCAAAUUAAGACAUUAGUAGUAAUUUAGAAAGUAGAUAUACCAUGUUCGUAGUGCAGUUUUGUGAUUUUAUGCUUUAGUUUAUGCUUUAGUUUCAGUAUUCAAAACUCAAGGUAUUCACAGGUGGUCGUUGCAAUGACCAGUGCUACUUCAAGAAUCCUACUUGCCAAUUCUGAGUCUUCAAAUGUAAACAUAUAUGCUGCCACCAAAGAAAUAAAAACUAUUGAGGACUGAU
Long non-coding RNA from Lytechinus variegatus (green sea urchin), 3477 nucleotides. RefSeq lists it as uncharacterized. The record is from RefSeq and is a predicted model, not a curated record. Lineage: Eukaryota; Metazoa; Echinodermata; Echinoidea; Temnopleuroida; Toxopneustidae. The transcript has 2 exons.